Molecule: long non-coding RNA, 329 nt
Filed under: Coffea arabica (coffee)
Lineage: Eukaryota; Viridiplantae; Streptophyta; Magnoliopsida; Gentianales; Rubiaceae
Description: long non-coding RNA (CARA_LNC002737)
Source: RNAcentral
UCCUAGCCAUUUAUAUCACUAUAUGGGAAAAUUUGCAAAAAUUCUAGUUUACUUAUAAGUUUGGUCGUGGAAGAAACAGAAAAAAAAAAAAAUUAGCAGCAGAAUAGACUAAGGUGGGUAGAGAUGAUAAUUCAUACCUGCUGUGACUUGAUGAAGCUGUUCUGCGAUGAAAAUUAUCACAAUGAAGAUCCUCAUAAAUUUAAUAAUUCUCGAAAGGAAAGAAGGAUAUUUCUUGUUUAUGCUUGGAUUGUGCUCAAGUGUUUUCUUCCUCGACUGAGAUACACAGGAGGGAGCCAUGACGGGAAAAUUGUGGUCUUCUGGCCAUCAAA